UGCUCUUUCACUUGUUAACACCUGUGGUUUUUUGCUGGGGGCCUGGUGCUGGCUGAUUCCAGGGCAAAAGUCGAAGCCCAGCUCCACAUCCUGGUGGCAAAAGGCUUCUCCAAGUGACCUCUUGGGGAUCACUUCUGGCUAUCUUCUGGAAAAUAGGAGAUUAAAAACAUGUGUGUUCCCACAAUGCUGCAUUCUGAAGAUGUUUCAUCUCCUAGUCCUGCCCCCCGUGUAAGUUAUGUAAGACUAUUGAAAUCAACAAAGAACAAUUCAUGCCUUGACUGGGAUUAUUGUUGUUGUUUUUAAGGACAGACCUAAAAUUGGAAAAGCAACUGAAAUGCAAGCAGUCCCUACAUACUGUCAAGCUCAGAGAAAAUUCACUUCUGACUUUUCUGCAGGGGAUAUAAGUGGAUAAGAAUGCUUGGCAUUUUGUGAGUCUAUUCACUCUUUAGGAUGGAAAUAAAAUGCACUUAAUUGAAUAUCCUAAAAUCUCAAGCCGUCAGAGCUGAAGCCUGGGAAGCUAUACCUGAAACGUGGGUCGAGCUAGGAGAAUGCCUCCAGAGGGCUGGAAGGAUGAGUGUGCCUGGCAUCUUGACGUUACUAUGGGGAUUGCUAUAGUAACAAUUCUGCUCGCCCUUCAUUUAUUAAGUUAUUUUGUUGUGGAACCAAAAGGUAAACCAAACAUUCAAAGAAACAACGCUUUUAAAGAGAUUUUUGCUGUUCCUGCAGCCCAGGCCAAAUGCUUCAAUGAAAGAAAAGGACAACACUGGCAGAUAAUUUAAUACAAUUGAAGGAAUGAGAUUCCUCCAGGUUUCCUCUGAGACUGGAAAAAUAACAGCUGAUCUGUGUCAUAACGCAGAGCUGAAUUUGUGAAUUUACCAGUCCUGAUACGAAACCCUCUGAGGAAACAAUGGCGUUGCCCCUCACAACCCACACCUAGCCUCUCUCUCUUUUGCCUUCACUCCACCAGAAUAUGGCUUGCCUUUUUUUUUUUUUUUUCCAUAAAGAGAAUGGGGAAAAUGAAGCUGACCAGAAAAAGAGCCUUCAUCUUGAAGGGCUUAAAGGUUUUAAAUGCAGCAUCCCACCCGCGGGGGUCUUAGCAGGUCCACAGUCCUCACUGGAAACAAUAAAACAGAACUGGGAGUGGGGGAGGGGGAGGAGGAACGCUGGGGAGGGAUCUGGAAGCAGAAUUUUCUGUCCUCUCUCCUCUCCUCGGAUCCUUUCUUCUUGGUCCCAUAGGGGUCUCUGCCGGGGUGGGAGAAUGAUUCUGGAAAAUGUGCAGAGACUCCCUGGAAAGCCAAAAUGGGGGUGAGAGAAAGCAUGUGUUCUGGGGUCUGUCCUACUCUAAUGGGAGAUUGUAGUAAAACUCCUCAUGGGGUGAGACUGUAUGAAAGAGAGAAAAUGAAAACAGAGGAGUGAGGAAAGGCAACUUAGAAAAACCAACCCGCAUUCAUAUGAGAGAAUGAAUCAUGAGAAAAAAUUCAAGCAAGUAACUGCUUAGCUUGACUCCACUUCCCCUCAUCCUAAGGGGAAGUUUCCACUGCGUUUAUGCUUGUCAUCACUAUGGUUCAAUCAACCAGUUGACUGUUCUGGUGUAAUGAAGUCAAGGCUUGGGAAUAGAGGCAGAGUCACCAAAAUACAGUAACAAUGGAGCCCAAGUUGGUCUAAAAAAGGAUUUCAGGAAACAGUAGGAGCAAGCGCUGCCCUGAGUCUUUCACCCGUGUUAAUUCAGCGAAUUCACACACCAGCCCUCAGAGGUAGCUCCUAUCAGCAUGCUCAAUUUUCACGUGGGAAAACUAAGAGAAGAUAAGUGAUUUGCCUGCAGUAAAACACUGUAAAGAGAAGAACCCGGUUUCAAACCUAAGCAGCUGAUUCCAGGGUCUGUGUUCUGAUCCAUGACCCUGUACUCUUCCUCCAAGCCAGCUCGUGAAAAACAGAGGAGACAAAUCCCAAGGUUGCUUUCUAAUAACUUGGAGGGAGAGCAGCAAGAAAGAGAACAGAGACUUGGAUAGUGACUGUGUGGACGGGCAGAAGCAGACAGUCUCCGAGGGGAUGGAAAGCGAGAACGCACUGCACCUCGGAUAAGGAAAAGCAGGCACAAGACAGCACCCUUAGGAAGCUCUAAAAGGCGAUGGGGUCCAAGCCUUUCUCCUGUCACCAAACUAAAUCCUCUGGGGUCCUCUUGUAAACCUUGUCUAUAGGAACAGAACAAGAAAUUAUUCUCUUUCUUUCCUCCUUCACAGACUGGAAAAGUCAAGUUCUAUAGAAGGAAAGAAUCAAGCAUUUGGAUUUUAAGUUGCCACCAUCGGAACGAGCAGGAACAGUCUAGAAAUCUCCUCCUGAGGUGGGGGGAUGUGCAGAAGAAAAAAUAGAAUUAUCCUGGUAAUUAUCUUGCAUCAAAUCAAACUUUACUAAACGUAAAUCUCUGCUCCGUGGGUGGGAAAGUAAGACUACAAAGGACGAUGUUCAACAGGGUUGACUGGUAAAGUUCACUGCUCAAUAAAAGACAUCAAGACACAUCUUCCAAAUGACUGGCCUUUCAAAACAAUUCGGUGACUAUUUAAAUGUUACCACGGACAUACCUACUAUAGCUUUUAAGAGAUUUCAAUGACUUUUAACAGUGACAGAGAUAAAUGUCUUAAAUGAAUCUGUAAAUUCAUUGAUAAUUUUCUAAUCAAUCCUACUUUUAUUAAAUUAUCUUUUGAAACUUUAAUUAAAAUUUUAAUUAAUGCCAUUUAUGAACCACAAUAAUGUCCUCUAAUUAUGGGAUUAUACCAAGUGAAGUCUGCUGUUCACACAACUCCUGGUUAAGAUGCCCCAAAUCACCAAGGAUACAUUAUCUUUUCUCUAUGAUGUACAUCACAUAGAAAAGUGCCCUUGUGAUUAGUGCUCUUUCUGCUUCAUAUAGUACAUUAGCAGAAUCUCAAGUGCUGACGCUAUAAUAAGUGUACGGCUCUAUAAGCCGUGCCAAGCAAAUCAGUGCCAAACGUGCCUGGCUUUCAUGGUGGCAACUUCAGAGAAGACACAAGUUAGUUAAAGGAUGCUAUUCAGAGGAAAACUUCAAAACUCACAACAUCUUGGGUCGGAAGGAACUUGAAAGACUGUCUGUUUCCAACCCUCCAUCCACCUUAGACUUUACUUGAUCUGUAACGGCAAGUCCUUUUGCUACACCAAUCUUAAUAACACGUUUUGAUUCCCGUCUGCUGGACUCUGCACCGGGGUGAAUCUGGAGACAGUUAAGCAGAAUCUACCCAUCUCUAGGUUUUCCACAGGUUGCCUGCAUUUGGCCCUUGGCUCCCCCAACAAAGCCAAACAAGACCUCUAAGACUUCAUCUCACUUCAGAAGAACAUUAAGGAUAGGGUGCAGGUUUUGUGCUGCACUCAGUCUAGGUUGGAGAGGUAGGGCAAGGAUGGCGAGACCAUCUCUAGCAUACAUUAACAGACCCCUUCUUCCAGGAUCAUGCCCCGUGAAAGCCAAUGAGUCUUCUGCUCUGUCCUUGAGAGAAAUGGAGUGGCCUCGGCCACAGCACAUUUUCUUCCCUGUGCAAAACAUUCUACCACUCCGGUACUCUGAACAGAGUUCUGAAGCUUGUUUUCUCUCUCCCUCCUUCUAUCCACCCUGCAUUACUGUGUUGCCGCUGACCACUUCACAGCAGUUAACUUUCCAUCCAGAGAAAGCUUGCCCUAAACCAGGCUGUCAUUCGUAACAAUAAUCACUGUGUCAGCCUUUGGUUAAUGAUCCUAGUAGCUAACCUUCAUUCCAUGCUAAUCAGAGCAUGAUAUUACAUCACUGAAUUUCACGGUACCCCGUGAGGUAGGUGGCACUGAUAUCCCCUUUCUACAGAUGAAGGCGUGGAGAUUCACCGAGUUUGAGACUCGUCCAAGUUCCUACCACCGGUCAGCUCUGGAGCCAGAAUUCAAAUCAGGUGUCUGAUUCCUACUGCAGUUAUUUAAGCCCAAAUGAAGCCACAUUUGAUUGCCCCAGGACAACGGCGAUGGUUACACUGAGAGCACGCGCACCUGCCCACACACCUGGCGCAAGUUCUUGGAAUUCCAGACACCCCUUAAAGCACAGGCCUAUGUCAACAAGAGUGUUCUAGAGGAGCUGAGGUUAUCUGGGAAUCUGGCUGCCAGCAUUUGUGCUCUGAUCUGCCCCGCUCCGUGCAACAACAUAGACCCGACUUUCUUGAAGCCGCCAGCAGCGCAGGGCGGCCAAGACUAACAAGUGUAGGCACUGUGCAGGGUACGGGGGUGCAUGAAUAGCACCAUUCUUUGCUGGCCAACACUGGCCCCAUUGUUUCAGGCAAUGAAUAGAGCUGUGUGGGAAAAAAAAAUUCACACACGAAGCAAAAAGCAGCAAAAUUUGUCUCUUUGUGAUGGUUUCAAGGCCGGGUGAAAAAGUCAUUCUUCACCUGGUGCUCUUUUACAUUUUCUUUCACAGACAGAAAGCCCUUUCUGGCAAGGGGAGAGGCUUUCUCUAAAAAAUUAAAAAGUUACAGGUCACAGUGCAGGUGAGAGCACCAGGAAUCGACCUCGAAGCUGAACUGCGUUCAUUCAUUCCAACGUGAGCGGGAGGGAGAGGGAUGGGGCGUCAUUUGGACUUAGCGUAGUUGAGCUGCUUUCCCACAAUCAUCUUGAUCUAUUCAGGACGGGCAGGUUUUGCCUGCAUGUUCCUCGAUGACAGAGGGAAAGCUAAGCACAGGGCAUUAACUACUGUAUACGAUCAGGCUCUCAUUUCAAGGUAAAUACUUGCCAGGCUUCUAGUUUCCUUCCAGGGUUAGAGGCUCAGUGGGUCCCAGAACCACUUCUGGGGUUGCCUUGCUGGGUUGCAGUAAUGACAACCAAGGGGUCUAUUCCUAUCUCUGUCCCGUGAGCACCGUUAGAUGAAAUCAGAGUCCCACGAACCACUACAUUAAUUUAACUUCUACAUGUGGAAGAUGGAUUCCUGUCUUAAGAUCAGGCACUAACAUAGUUCUCUACAGGCUGGUGUCUUCUCUGAGAAUCGCCUUCUCAUCCUCAAACUAUCUGUCAAAUCACCACUGCAAAUAGAUAUCCUGUGAUACAAAUAAUCCUUAAUGGAGUGUUGAAUAAAUGAUUAUUUUUUUCUA
Long non-coding RNA from Aethalodelphis obliquidens (Pacific white-sided dolphin), 5105 nucleotides. RefSeq lists it as uncharacterized. The transcript is spliced from 4 exons. The record is from RefSeq and is a predicted model, not a curated record. Lineage: Eukaryota; Metazoa; Chordata; Mammalia; Artiodactyla; Delphinidae.